RNAcentral lists this ribosomal RNA (439 nucleotides) under uncultured bacterium. Its description in RNAcentral is "partial 16S ribosomal RNA". It matches the Rfam family "Bacterial small subunit ribosomal RNA", at positions 339 to 795 of the family's 1533-position model. The record is from RNAcentral.
CUACGGGACGCUCCAGUGGGGAAUAUUGCACAAUGGAGGAAACUCUGAUGCAGCAACGCCGCGUGGAGGAUGACACUUUUCGGAGCGUAAACUCCUUUUAUAUAGGAAGAAGAUGACGGUACUAUAUGAAUAAGCGCCGGCUAACUCCGUGCCAGCAGCCGCGGUAAUACGGAGGGCGCAAGCGUUACUCGGAAUCACUGGGCGUAAAGAGCGUGUAGGCGGAUUAAAAAGUCAGAAAUGAAAUCCUAUAGCUUAACUAUAGAACUGCUUCUGAAACUCUUAAUCUAGAAUGUGGGAGAGGUAGAUGGAAUUUCUGGUGUAGGGGUAAAAUCCGUAGAGAUCAGAAGGAAUAUCGAUUGCGAAGGCGAUCUACUAGAACAUUAUUGACGCUGAGACGCGAAAGCGUGGGGAGCAAACAGGAUUAGAUACCCUAGUAGUC